CAACGCUGGCGGCGUGCCUAACACAUGCAAGUCGAACGAGAAAGUGGAGCAAUCCAUGAGUACAGUGGCGUACGGGUGAGUAACACGUGACUACCUACCCUCGAGUGGGGAAUAACCUCGGGAAACCGGGGCUAAUACCGCAUAACAUCUACGGAUCAAAUGCGAAAGCAGCUUGAGGAGGGGGUCGCGGCCGAUUAGCUAGUUGGUGAGGUAAUGGCCCACCAAGGCAAUGAUCGGUAGCCGGCCUGAGAGGGCGCACGGCCACACUGGAACUGAAACACGGUCCAGACUCCUACGGGAGGCAGCAGUGGGGAAUUUUGCGCAAUGGGGGAAACCCUGACGCAGCAACGCCGCGUGGAGGAUGAAGCCCUUUGGGGCGUAAACUCCUUUCGAUCGGGACGAUUAUGACGGUACCGGAUGAAGAAGCACCGGCUAACUCUGUGCCAGCAGCCGCGGUAAUACAGAGGGUGCAAGCGUUGUUCGGAAUUAUUGGGCGU
This 497-nucleotide ribosomal RNA is filed under the name uncultured bacterium. RNAcentral describes it as "bacterial SSU rRNA". It matches the Rfam family "Bacterial small subunit ribosomal RNA", at positions 31 to 561 of the family's 1533-position model. The record is from RNAcentral.